This 73-nucleotide transfer RNA is filed under the name Operophtera brumata (winter moth). It matches the Rfam family "tRNA". From Rfam's summary of the family: Transfer RNA (tRNA) molecules are approximately 80 nucleotides in length. Their secondary structure includes four short double-helical elements and three loops (D, anti-codon, and T loops). Further hydrogen bonds mediate the characteristic L-shaped molecular structure. tRNAs have two regions of fundamental functional importance: the anti-codon, which is responsible for specific mRNA codon recognition, and the 3' end, to which the tRNAs corresponding amino acid is attached (by aminoacyl-tRNA synthetases). tRNAs cope with the degeneracy of the genetic code in two manners: having more than one tRNA (with a specific anti-codon) for a particular amino acid; and 'wobble' base-pairing, i.e. permitting non-standard base-pairing at the 3rd anti-codon position. The record is from Rfam by way of RNAcentral. Lineage: Eukaryota; Metazoa; Arthropoda; Insecta; Lepidoptera; Geometridae.
UGUUCUAUGGCCGAACUGGUAAAGGCAUUGCCGAUCACAGGCAAGGCUUCGGGUUCGAGUCCCGCUCGAACGG